This 897-nucleotide ribosomal RNA is filed under the name uncultured Morganella. RNAcentral's name for it is "partial 18S ribosomal RNA". It matches the Rfam family "Eukaryotic large subunit ribosomal RNA", at positions 57 to 941 of the family's 3401-position model. Lineage: Eukaryota; Fungi; Basidiomycota; Agaricomycetes; Agaricales; Lycoperdaceae. The record is from RNAcentral.
AAAAGAAACUAACAAGGAUUCCCCUAGUAACUGCGAGUGAAGCGGGAAAAGCUCAAAUUUAAAAUCUGGCAGUCUAUGGCUGUCCGAGUUGUAAUCUAGAGAAGUGAUGCCCGCGCUGGACCGUGUACAAGUCUCCUGGAAUGGAGCGUCAUAGAGGGUGAGAAUCCCGUCUCUGACACGGACUACCAGGGCUUUGUGGUAUGCUCUCAAAGAGUCGAGUUGUUUGGGAAUGCAGCUCUAAAUGGGUGGUAAAUUCCAUCUAAAGCUAAAUAUUGGCGAGAGACCGAUAGCGAACAAGUACCGUGAGGGAAAGAUGAAAAGAACUUUGGAAAGAGAGUUAAACAGUACGUGAAAUUGCUGAAAGGGAAACGCUUGAAGUCAGUCGCGUUAGCUAGGAAUCAGCCUUGCUUUUGCUUGGUGUACUUUCUGGUUGACGGGUCAGCAUCAAUUUUGAGUGCUGGAAAAAGGCCUUGGGAAUGUGGCAGCUUUGGCUGUGUUAUAGCCCUUGGUCACAUACAGCAGUUGGGAUUGAGGAACUCAGCACGCCGCAAGGCCGGGUUUCGACCACGUUCGUGCUUAGGAUGCUGGCAUAAUGGCUUUAAGCGACCCGUCUUGAAACACGGACCAAGGAGUCUAACAUGCCUGCGAGUGUUUGGGUGGUAAACCCUUGCGCGUAAUGAAAGUGAAAGUUGAGAUCCCUGUCGUGGGGAGCAUCGACGCCCGGACUUGAACUUUUGUGACGGAUCCGCGGUAGAGCAUGUAUGUUGGGACCCGAAAGAUGGUGAACUAUGCCUGAAUAGGGUGAAGCCAGAGGAAACUCUGGUGGAGGCUCGUAGCGAUUCUGACGUGCAAAUCGAUCGUCAAAUUUGGGUAUAGGGGCGAAAGACUAAUCGAACA